UUCCGGUUGAUCCCGCCGGACCUGACUGCUAUCGGAUUGAUACUAAGCCAUGCGAGUCAUUGUAGCAAUACAAGGCAGACGGCUCAGUAACGCGUAGUCAACCUACCCUAUGGACGGGGAUAACCUCGGGAAACUGAGAAUAAUACCAGAUAGAACAUUAUACCUGGAAUGGUUUAUGUUUCAAAUAAUUUAUUGCCGUAGGAUGGGACUGCGGCCUAUCAGUUUGUUGGUGAGGUAAUGGCCCACCAAGACUAUUACAGGUACGGGCUCUGAGAGGAGUAGCCCGGAGAUGGGUACUGAGACACGGACCCAGGCCCUAUGGGGCGCAGCAGGCGAGAAAACUUUGCAAUGUGCGAAAGCACGACAAGGUUAAUCCGAGUGGUUUCUGCUAAAGGAACCUUUUGCCAGUCCUAGAAACACUAGUGAAUAAGGGGUGGGCAAGUUCUGGUGUCAGCCGCCGCGGUAAAACCAGCACCUCAAGUGGUCAGGAUGAUUAUUGGGCCUAAAGCAUCCGUAGCCUGCUUUGCCAGUUUUCGGUUAAAUCCACACGCUUAACGUAUGGGCUGCCGGAAAUACUACAAAGCUAGGGAGUGGGAGAGGUAGACGGUACUCGGUAGGAAGGGGUAAAAUCCUUUGAUCUAUUGAUGACCACCUGUGGCGAAGGCGGUCUACCAGAACACGUCCGACGGUGAGGGAUGAAAGCUGGGGGAGCAAACCGGAUUAGAUACCCGGGUAGUCCCAGCUGUAAACUAUGCAAACUCGGUGAUGCAUUGGCUUGAUGCCAAUGCAGUGCCGCAGGGAAGCCGUUAAGUUUGCCGCCUGGGAAGUACGUACGCAAGUAUGAAACUUAAAGGAAU
Molecule: ribosomal RNA, 857 nt
Filed under: uncultured archaeon
Lineage: Archaea
Description: bacterial SSU rRNA
Rfam family: Archaeal small subunit ribosomal RNA
Source: RNAcentral